Molecule: ribosomal RNA, 422 nt
Filed under: uncultured delta proteobacterium
Lineage: Bacteria; Deltaproteobacteria
Description: bacterial SSU rRNA
Rfam family: Bacterial small subunit ribosomal RNA
Source: RNAcentral
CUACCUUCGGGUCUGGGACAACUCCGGGAAACUGGAGCUAAUACCGGAUGAGACCACGAGGUCCUCGGACUUCGCGGAAAAAGAUGGCCUCUCCUUGGAAGCUAUCGCCUGUAGAUGAGCCCGCGCCCCAUUAGCUAGUUGGUGAGGUAACGGCUCACCAAGGCGACGAUGGGUAGCUGGUCUGAGAGGACGACCAGCCACACUGGAACUGAGACACGGUCCAGACUCCUACGGGAGGCAGCAGUCGGGGAAUUUUGGGCAAUGGGCGAAAGCCUGACCCAGCAACGCCGCGUGAGGGAUGAAGGCCCUCGGGUCGUAAACCUCUGUCGGGAGGGAAGAACGGUUGCAAGGUGAACAAUCUUGGAACCUGACGGUACCUCCAAAGGAAGCGCCGGCUAACUCCGUGCCAGCAGCCGCGGUAA